Oncorhynchus nerka (sockeye salmon) is the source of this 5325-nucleotide long non-coding RNA. RefSeq lists it as uncharacterized. The transcript is spliced from 2 exons. The record is from RefSeq and is a predicted model, not a curated record. NCBI's taxonomy places the organism in Eukaryota, Metazoa, Chordata, Actinopteri, Salmoniformes, Salmonidae.
UGCUGUGUUUAGAUAAAUGAGGAGAUCAAGAGAUGUGGGGCAAGAGAGUGAAAAGCUCAGACAGUCAGCAAGGAGAUGAUCGUGGACUUCAGGAAACAGCAGAGGGAGCACCCCCUUAUCCACAUCGACAGGACAGAAGUGGAGAAGGUGGAAAGUUUUAAGUUCCUCGGCGUACACAUCACGGACAAACUGAAAUGGUCCACCCACACUGACAGCGUGGUGAAGAAGGCGCAACAGUGCCUCUUCAACAUCAAGAGGCCGAAGAAAUUUGGCUUGUCACCUAAAACUCUCACAAACCUUUAAAGAUGCACAAUCGAGAGCAUCCUGUCGGGCUGUAUCACCGCCUGGUAUGGCAACUGCACCGCACUCAACUGCAAGGCUCUUCAGAGGGUAGUGCGGUAUGCAUAACGCAUCACCGGGGGCAAUCUACCUGCCCUCCAGGACACCUACACCACCCAAUGUCACAGGAAGGCCAAAAAGAUCAUCAAGGAAAACAACCACCCGAGCCACUGCCUGUUCACCCCGCUAUCAUCCAGAAGGCGAGGUCAGUACAGGUGCAUCAAAGCUGGGACAAAGAGACUGAAAAACAGCUUCUAUCUCAAGGCCAUCAAACUGUUAAACAGCCAUCACUAACAUAGAGAGGCUCCUGCCAAAAUAGACUCAAGUCACUGGACACUUUAAUAAAGGUAUCACUAGUCACUUUAUAAAUGCCACUUUAAUAAUGUUUACAUAUCCUACAUUACUCAACUCAUAUGUAUAUACUGUAAUAUAUACCAUCUAUUGAAUCUUGCCUAUGCCGCACAGCCAUCGAGCAUACAUAUAUUUAUAUGCAAAUAUUCUUAUUCCAUCCCAUUACAUUUGUGUGUAUAAGGUAGUUGUUAGAUUACAUGUUAGAUAUUACUGCACUGUCGGAACUAGAAGCACAAGCAUUUCGCUACACUCACAUUAACAUCUGCUAACCAUGUGUUUGUGACCAAUAAUAUUUGAUUUCAUUUGAAAAAUGAUAACUUUUUUGGUCCUCCCCUUCCUCCUCUGAGGAGCCUCCACUGGGUGGUUUACAAAAGACCAAGUCCAUAUUAUGGCAAGAACAGACAUUAAGGUCAGUCAAUACGGAACAUUUCAAGAACUUUCAAAGUUUCUUCAAGUGCAGUCGCAAGAUGGCGCAGGAGAACAAAGAAGAAGUUUUACGUAUUCCUAACCAAUUGUAUUUUUUUGUUUGUUUCUUUGCGUUGUUUGUAACAAAUUUUUUAAACUUAUUUUGUACAUAAUGUUGCUGCUACCGUCUCUUAUGACUGAAAAUAACUCACCACGGAUUGGCAGAAACCUUUUUUUCCCUUUAACGAGUCCGACGAGCCCGACGUGAAUGAUAUGCUGCUUACCAGGGAACAGGCCUUGAUCCCUGUCAUUUGCGUGAAGAGAAGGCGGGGAAAAAGGGCCCGGAGGCUGGGCUGCCUUCUGAGAAUUCGUAGGCGAUCAAAUAAACCCUUACUUCCUUCCAUUCUGUUAGCAAAGGUGCAAUCUUUGGAAAAUAAAAUCGAUGACCCACAUGGAAGAUUAAAAUACCACCGGGACAUUCAAAACUGUAAUAUCUUAUGCUUCACAGAGUCGUGGCUGAACGACGACAUUAUCAACAUAGAGCUGGCAGGUUAUACGUUGAAUCGGCAGGAUAGAACAGCAUCGCCUGGUAAGACAAGGGGCGGUGGUCUAUGUAUUUUUUGUAAAUAACAGCUGGUGCAUGAUAUUUAAGGAAGUCUCAAGGUUUUGCUCGCCUGAGGUAGAGUAUCUCAUGAUAAGCUGUAGACUACGCUAUCUACCUAGAGAGUUUUCAUCUGUAUUUUUGUAGUUGUCUACAUACCACCACAGACUAAUACUGGCACUAAGACCGCACUGAAUGAGCUGUAUUCCACAAUAAGCAAACAGGAAAACGUUCAACCAGAGAUGGCGCUCUUUAAAUACUUUAAUGCAGGGAAACUUAAAUCUGUCUUACCAAAUUUCUAUCAGCAUGUUAAAUGUGCAACCAGAGGGGAAAAAAGCUCUGGAUUCCUCCGAUGGCAUUGAGGAGAACACCACAUCAGUCAUUGGCUUCAUCAAUAAGUACAUUGUUGACGUCGUCACCACGGUGACCGUACGUACAUACCCCCACCAGAAGCCAUGGAUUACAUGCAACAUCCGCACUGAGCUAAAGGCUAGAGCUGCCGCUUUCAAGGAGCAGGACUCUAACCCGGAAGCUUAUAAGAAAUCCCACAAUGCUCUCCGACGAACCAUCAAACAGGCAAAGCAUCAAUACAGGACUAAAUGGCAGGGUCGGAUGUGGCAGGGCUUGCAAACCAUUACACACCACAAAGGGAAGCACAGCUGAGAGCUGCCCAGUGACGCAAGCCUACCAGACGAGCUAAACUACUUCUAUGCUCGCUUCGAGACAAAUAAUACUGAAAAAUGCAUGAGAGCACCAGCUGUUCUGGAAACUGUGUGAUCACACUCUCCGCAGCCGAUGUGAGUAAGACCUUUAAAUAGGUCAACAUUCACAAGGCCGCAGGGUCAGACGGAUUACCAGGACGUGUACUGCGAGCAUGCGCUGACCAACUGGCAAGUGUCUUCACUGACAUUUUCAACCUCUCCCUGUCCGAGUCUGUAAUACCAACAUGUUUUAAGCAGACCACCAUGGUCCCUGUUCCCAAGAACAUUAAGGUAACCUGCCUAAAUGACUACCGCCCCACCCAUAGCACUCACGUCUGUAGCCAUGAAGUGUUUUGAAAGGCGGGUCAUGGCUCACAUCAACACCAUUAUCCCAGAAACCCAUUCCAAUUUGCAUACCGCCCAAACAGAUUCACAGAUGAUGCACUCCACACUGCCCUUUCCCACCUGGACAAAAGGAAUACCUAUGUGAGAAUGCUAUUCAUUGACUACAGCUCAGCAUUCAACACCGUAGUUCCCUCAAAGCUCAUCAACAAGCUAAGGACCCUGGGACUAAAACACCUCCCUCUGCAACUGGAUCCUGGACUUCCUGAUGGGCCGCCCCCAGGUGGUAAGGGUAGGUAACAACACAUCCGCCACGCUGAUCCUCAACACAGGAGCCCCUCAGGGGUGAGUGCUCAGUCCCCUUCUGUACUCCCUGUCACUCAUGACUGCACGGCCAGGCACAACUCCAACACCAUCAUUAAGUUUGCCGAUGACACAACAGUGGUAGGCCUGAUCACUGACAAUGAUGAGACAGCCUAUAGGGAGGAGGUCAGAGACCUGGCCAUGUGGUGCCAGGACAACAACCUCUCCCUCAACGUGAUCAAGACAAAGCAGGUGAUUGUGGACUACAGGAAAAAGAGGACAGAGCGCGCCCCCAUUCUCAUCGACUGGGCUGUAGUGGAGCAGGUUGAGAGCUUCAAAUUCCUUGGUGUCCACAUCACCAACAAACUAACAUGGUCCAAGCACACCAAGACAGUCGUGAAGAUGGCAUGACGAUGCCUAUUCCCCCUCAGGAUACUGAAACGAUUUGGCAUGGGUCAUCAGAUCCUCAAAGGUUUCUACAGCAGCCCCAUCGUGAGCAUCCUGACUGGUUGCAUCACUGCCUGGUAUGGCAACUGCUCGGCCUCCGACCGCAAGGCACUACAGAGGGUAGUGCGUACGGCCCAGGGAAUCACUGGGGCCAAGCUACCUGCCAUCCAGGACCUCUACACCAGGUGGUGUCAGAGGAAGGCCCUGAAUUGUCAAAGACUCUAGACACCUUAGUCAUAGACUGUUCUCUCUGCUACCGCACGGAAAGCGGUACCGGCGCGCCAAGUCUAGGUCCAAGAGGCUUCUAAAACAGCUUCUACCCCCAAGCUAUAAGAAACCUGAACAUCUAAUCAAAUGGCUACCCAGACGAUAUGCAUUGCCCCUCCUCUUUUACACCGCUGCUACUCUCUGUUGUUAUCAUCUAUGCAUAGUAACUUUAAUAACCAUACCUACUCUACAUGUUACCUCAACUAACCGGUGACUCUGUACAAAUACCCCCCUCUGUAUAGUCUCGCUAUUGUUAUUUUACUGCUGCUUUUAAUUACUUAUUACUUUUAUUUCUUAUUCUUACACAUAUAUUUAUGUAAUUAAGCAUUUCACUUUAAGGUGGUGUACCUGUUGUAUCCAGCGCAUGUGACUAAUAAAAUUUGAUUUGAUUUUGAUUUGAAAAACUAUCAAGCGCUAUGAUGAAACUGGCUCUCAUGAGGGCUGCCACAGGAAAGGAGGACCCAGUUACCUCUGCUGCAGAGGAUAAGUUAAUUAAAGUUAUCAUUCUAAGAAAUUGCAGCCCAAAUAAAUGCUUGACAGAGUUCAAGUAACAGACACAUCUCAACAUCAACUGUUCAGAGGACACUGCGAAUGUAAUUUUUUUUACCUUCAUUUAACUUGGCAAGUCAGUUAAGAAAAAAAUCUUAUUUUCAAUGACAGCCUUGGAACAGUGGGUUAACUGCCCGUUCAGGAGCAGAAUGACAGAUUUGAAACUUGUCAGCUUGGGGAUUUGAACUUGCAUCCUUUUGGUGACUAGUCCAACGCUCUAACCACUAGGCUACCCUGCCGCCCCAGGCUUUCAUGGUCAAAUUGCUGAAAAGAAACCACUACUAAAGAACUACUAAAAAUAAGAAGAGACUUGCUUGGGCAAAGAAACACAAGCAAUGGACAUUAGAUUGGUGGAAAUCUGUCCUUUGGUCUGAUGAGUCCAAAUUUCAGAUGUUUGGUUCCAUCCACCAUGUCUUUGUGAGACGCAGAGUAGGUGAAAGGAUGAUGUCUUCAUGUGUGGUUCCCACUGUGAAGCAUGGAGGAGGAGGUGUGAGGGUGCUUUGCUGGUGACACUGUCUGUGAUUUAUUUAGAAUUCAAGACACACUUAACCAGUAUGGCUACCACAGCAUUCUGCAGCGAUAGCCAUAUCAUCUGGUUUGUGCUUAGUGGGACCCAAAACACCUACAAGCGUGUAAAGGCUAUUUCACCAAGAAGGAAAGUGAUGGAGGGCUGCAUCUGAUGACCUGGCCUCCACAAUCACCCAACCUCAACCAAAUUGAGAUGGUUUGGAAUGAGAUGGCCGGUGGAGCGAAGGAAAAGCAGCCAACAACUGCUCAGCAUAUGUGGGAACUCCUUCAAGACUGUCGGAAAAAAGUGUGCAAAGCUGUAAUCAAGGCAAAUGGUGGCUACUAUGAAGAAUCUAAAAUCUAAAAUAUAUUUAGAUUUGUUUAAGACGUGUUUGGUUACUACAUGAUUCCAUAUGUGUUAUUUCAUAGUUUAUGUCUUCACUAUUAUUCUACAAUGUAGAAAAUAGUCAAAAUAAAGAAAAACCCUUGAAUGAGUAGGUGUGUCCAAACUUU